Molecule: transfer RNA, 89 nt
Filed under: Paramesorhizobium endophyticum
Lineage: Bacteria; Pseudomonadati; Pseudomonadota; Alphaproteobacteria; Hyphomicrobiales; Phyllobacteriaceae
Description: Brucella endophytica tRNA-Glu
Source: RNAcentral
AAACGCUGUGGGUCGCGCCAGCCAAUCUCCCCCCUCGCGGGGGAGAUGUCCGGCAGGACAGAGGGGGGCCCGGUUCCGCCAGCAUUUCC